This 301-nucleotide ribosomal RNA is filed under the name uncultured bacterium. RNAcentral's name for it is "partial 16S ribosomal RNA". It matches the Rfam family "Bacterial small subunit ribosomal RNA", at positions 509 to 807 of the family's 1533-position model. The record is from RNAcentral.
CAGCAGCCACGGGAAUACGAAGGGGGCUAGCGUUGCUCGGAAUUACUGGGCGUAAAGGGAGCGUAGGCGGACAUUUAAGUCAGGGGUGAAAUCCCAGAGCUCAACUCUGGAACUGCCUUUGAUACUGGGUGUCUUGAGUGUGAUAGAGGUAUGUGGAACUCCGAGUGUAGAGGUGAAAUUCGUAGAUAUUCGGAAGAACACCAGUGGCGAAGGCGACAUACUGGAUCAUUACUGACGCUGAGGCUCGAAAGCGUGGGGAGCAAACAGGAUUAGAUACCCCAGUAGUCCCUGUCUCUUAUAC